UACGAAGGGUGCAAGCGUUGUUCGGAAUUACUGGGCGUAAAGCGCGCGUAGGCGGGCUGGCAAGUCGAUUGUGAAAGCCCUGGGCUUAACCUGGGAAUUGCAGUCGAAACUGCCGGUCUUGAGUGCCUGAGAGGAUGGCGGAAUUCCCGGUGUAGUAGUGAAAUACGUAGAUAUCGGGAAGAACACCUGAGGCGAAGGCGGCUAUCUGGCGGUGCACUGACGCUGAGGCGCGAAAGCGUGGGGAGCAAAC
Molecule: ribosomal RNA, 250 nt
Filed under: uncultured bacterium
Lineage: Bacteria
Description: partial 16S ribosomal RNA
Rfam family: Bacterial small subunit ribosomal RNA
Source: RNAcentral